GACGAACGCUGGCGGCGUGCUUAACACAUGCAAGUCGAACGGAAAGGCCCUGCUUUUGUGGGGUGCUCGAGUGGCGAACGGGUGAGUAACACGUGAGUAACCUGCCCUUGACUUUGGGAUAACUUCAGGAAACUGGGGCUAAUACCGGAUAGGAGCUCCUGCUGCAUGGUGGGGGUUGGAAAGUUUCGGCGGUUGGGGAUGGACUCGCGGCUUAUCAGCUUGUUGGUGGGGUAGUGGCUUACCAAGGCUUUGACGGGUAGCCGGCCUGAGAGGGUGACCGGCCACAUUGGGACUGAGAGAAGGCCCAGACUCCUACGGGAGGCAACAGUGGGGAAUAUUGCACAAUGGGCGGAGGCGGGAUGCAGCAACGCCGCGUGCGGGAUGACGGCCUUCGGGUGGUAAACCGCUUUCGCCUGUGACGAAGCGUGAGUGACGGUAAUGGGUAAAGAAGCACCGGCUAACUACGU
This 467-nucleotide ribosomal RNA is filed under the name uncultured bacterium. Its description in RNAcentral is "partial 16S ribosomal RNA". It matches the Rfam family "Bacterial small subunit ribosomal RNA", at positions 28 to 506 of the family's 1533-position model. The record is from RNAcentral.